GUGCUUCCUUCAGCAGCACAUUUUCUAAAAUUCAAACAAUACAGAGAUUAGCAUGGCCCCUGUGCAAGCAUGACAUGCAAAUUUGUGAAGCAUUCCAUAUUGUA
Sapajus apella (tufted capuchin) is the source of this 104-nucleotide small nuclear RNA. The record is from RefSeq and is a predicted model, not a curated record. NCBI's taxonomy places the organism in Eukaryota, Metazoa, Chordata, Mammalia, Primates, Cebidae.